RNAcentral lists this ribosomal RNA (890 nucleotides) under Stegana sp. 1840 JL-2019. RNAcentral's name for it is "partial 28S ribosomal RNA". It matches the Rfam family "Eukaryotic large subunit ribosomal RNA", at positions 75 to 805 of the family's 3401-position model. The record is from RNAcentral. Lineage: Eukaryota; Metazoa; Arthropoda; Insecta; Diptera; Drosophilidae.
UUUUCUUAGUAGCGGCGAGCGAAAAGAAAACAGUUCAGCACUAAGUCACUUUGUCUUUAUGGCAAAUGUGAGAUGCAGUGUAUGGAACGUCUUCAAUCUAGUAUGAGAAAUUAACGAUUUAAGUCCUUCUUAAAUGAGGCCAAUUACCCAUAGAGGGUGCCAGGCCCGUAUAACGUUAAUGAUUACUAGAAGACGAUUCCGAAGAGUCGUGUUGCUUGAUAGUGCAGCACUAAGUUGGUGGUAAACUCCAUCUAAAACUAAAUAUAACUAUGAGACCGAUAGUAAACAAGUACCGUGAGGGAAAGUUGAAAAGAACUCUGAAUAGAGAGUUAAAUAGUACGUGAAACUGCUUAGAGGUUAAGCCCGAUGAACCUGAAUAUCCGUUAUGGAAAAUUCAUCAUUAGAAUUGUAAUAUUCUUAAAAAAUAUUAUAAUGAUAGUGUGCAUUUUUUCCAUAUAAGGACAUUGUAAUCUAUUGACAUAAUAAAAUAUUUAUCAAAAAUUCAUGAAUUUUAAAGUUUAUUCAAAUUAUUUUGCUUGCAUUUUAACAUAGAAUAAAUGUUCUUGAUUUGAUAAAGUGUUGAUAGAUAUAUUAUAUAUACAGUGCUUUAAUUUUUCGGAAUUAUAUAAUGGCAUGGUUAUUAUUAAUUAUGUUUAUUAUAUGCAUGUGUAUGAUUAACAAUGCGAAAGAUUCAGGAUACCCUCGGGACCCGUCUUGAAACACGGACCAAGGAGUCUAACAUAUAUGCGAGUCAUUGGGUUUUUAUAAACCUAAUGGCGUAAUUAACUUAACUUAAUAAUAAUGGGAUUAGUUUUUAAACUAUUUAUAGAUUUAUUAACACAAUCCCGGGGCGUUCUAUAUAGUUAUGUAUAAUAAUAUUUAUAUUAUUU